GAUGAACGCUGGCGGUAUGCCUAACACAUGCAAGUCGUACGAGAGUUUUUAAUUCUAGUGGCGGACGGGUGAGUAACACGUGAGAAUUUACCUUUAGGAGGGGGAUAACAAUUGGAAACGAAUGCUAAUACCCCAUAUGCUUUUGAGUGAAAUGGAUUUUAUCCGCCUAGAGAGAAGCUCGCGGCUGAUUAGCUUGUUGGUAAGGUAAGAGCUUACCAAGGCGACGAUCAGUAUCUGGUUUGAGAGGACGAUCAGACACACUGGAACUGAGACACGGUCCAGACUCCUACGGGAGGCAGCAGUGGGGAAUUUUCCGCAAUGGGCGAAAGCCUGACGGAGCAAUACCGCGUGAGGGAAGAAUGCCUAUGGGUUGUAAACCUCUUUUUCAGGGAGGAAUAAAAUGACGUGUACCUGAAGAAUAAGCAUCGGCUAACUCCGUG
Molecule: ribosomal RNA, 440 nt
Filed under: uncultured bacterium
Lineage: Bacteria
Description: bacterial SSU rRNA
Rfam family: Bacterial small subunit ribosomal RNA
Source: RNAcentral